GGGCGUAGCUCAGUCGGUUAGAGUGCCGGCCUGUCACGCCGGAGGUCGCGGGUUCGAGUCC
Molecule: transfer RNA, 61 nt
Filed under: Methylobacterium sp. Leaf88
Lineage: Bacteria; Pseudomonadati; Pseudomonadota; Alphaproteobacteria; Hyphomicrobiales; Methylobacteriaceae
Description: tRNA-Asp
Rfam family: tRNA
About the family: Transfer RNA (tRNA) molecules are approximately 80 nucleotides in length. Their secondary structure includes four short double-helical elements and three loops (D, anti-codon, and T loops).
Source: RNAcentral